This 208-nucleotide long non-coding RNA is filed under the name Elaeis guineensis (African oil palm). RNAcentral's name for it is "long non-coding RNA (EGUI_LNC069140)". Lineage: Eukaryota; Viridiplantae; Streptophyta; Magnoliopsida; Arecales; Arecaceae. The record is from RNAcentral.
GUAGAAGUUCGGCUCUCGCAGGAGCUUGAUCGGGAUCCAAAAGGUGGUCGACCGCUGUAGAAACUUGAAAGGAGUCUGGUUACUGUAGAGAUCUCGUUGUCGGAGAAGCUCGAAUGCUGACGAAGCUCGAAAGAAGUUUGGAGUAGGGUCGUCCAUGGCUGGAAGAAGUCCAAGAGAGACUCGAAGAAUGGUCGGCUGCUGUAGGAGG